AUACGUAGGGAGCGAGCGUUAUCCGGAUUUAUUGGGUGUAAAGCGUGCGUAGACGGGCAAUUAAGUUAGUUGUGAAAUCCCUCGGCUUAACUGAGGAACUGCAGCUAAAACUGGUUGUCUUGAGUACUGGAGGGGAAGGCGGAAUUCCUAGUGUAGCGGUGAAAUGCGUAGAUAUUAGGAAGAACACCGGUGGCGAAGGCGGCCUUCUGGACAGAAACUGACGUUGAGGCACGAAAGUGUGGGGAGCAAACAGGAUUAGAUACCCUGGUAGUCCGCACGGUAAACGAUGGAUGCCCGCUGUUUGCGAUAUACUGUGAGCGGCCAAGAGAAAUCGUUAAGCAUCCCACCUGGGGAGUACGCCGGCAACGGUGAAACUCAAAGGAAUUGACGGGG
RNAcentral lists this ribosomal RNA (393 nucleotides) under uncultured bacterium. RNAcentral describes it as "partial 16S ribosomal RNA". It matches the Rfam family "Bacterial small subunit ribosomal RNA", at positions 523 to 918 of the family's 1533-position model. The record is from RNAcentral.